GUAUACAUAUCUGUGUCUCCCAUUAACAGCUCUGGGCUUAGCAUACAAGGCUCAUCCCUCCAAUUUUCAGAUAUAUAUUGAGAACCUACUAUGAGCUGACAUUUCAAAAUGCAAAGAUUUCACAGAAGCCUGGGAUUGUCACCCAGAAGAAUCUUCAGACAAGGAAAUGAGACCCAGAGAAGGGUGUCUCUCAUCAAGUUUCUCUAGAACCUGAGAGGAAAACAUUAGGGAUUAGAGUCCAACUCUUCCUGACACCUUGCUCUUUCACAGCAGGGAUUUUUCUCCCUUCGGUUAAAAUAGCAGGUUUUCCAAGUGUCCAUGUUGAUCCCAGAUUCCCUCACUGUCUCCUCCCCCAUUCUUGCCCCAGCAACCAUAAGUUCAUCCUCUAAGUCAGAUAUGUACACUCUGCUGGAUUUAGCAUGGAUAACCAACAAGGUCCUCCACAGGGAACUCCACUCAGCUUCAUGUGGCAGCCUGGGUGGGAGGGGAGUGUAGAGGGUGAAUGGAAAGAUGGAUUUGUGUGGCCAAGUCCCUUCUCUGUCUCCUGCUGUCACAGCACUGUUAGUCAGUCAUACUCCAAUAUAAAAUAAAAACUUUUCAAAAAAUUAAUAAAAGCCAAGAGACCUAAAAAAAUAAAACAACAGAUUUUUGAACAUAGUUAGAAAACUAGAAAAAACAUGAAUGAUUAUUUUGUUCAUUACUGGUUUUUCCAGAUCAAACGCUAGCCCUCAAGCACCGCUGAGUUGGAGCCAGAGGACCGGAACACAGACCAAGACCAAUCCGCAGGGCGGCUGAUCCCAUCACUGUCUGACUCCCUGUCCGCCUCACACCCACCCUGCAUGCUCACGUUUCACCCACGCCAGGCCAACCAAGGGCCUGUAAAAGUUUAACUUUGUGCGAUUGCACAACCGUGAAAGCUCAAGCUGAUUUUCAGGGUAAUGAAGAGAUUCUCCAGUUGCCUCAUGAAAAAGUUUCCAGGGAGGACAAACAGCGCAAGUUGUCGCAGACAUCGGCGUCCUCGGUGUGGGUGAGGUGACGACGCCUCAAGAGGCCGAAGGGGACGCGCGUUUGGGCCGCGUGGGGCCUCGCAGGGCCUUGUGCUGUUUCCCUGUCUGCUCCUUUGCUGAGCUUCUAUCCUGAAGAAUCCUUCUGGAGGGGCAGGCCCUGCUCCCCUCGAUGGCAGGAGAGAACGCGGAGCUUGGAGACGCGCCCCCUCGAGGGAGAACACGGCUGCUUCAGUCUCAGACUCUCCCGCCCGGAAAGCAGAUUCCAGAACCCAGCAGGAACAGGGGCGACCAGACAGUCCCAAGUUUGACACCGAACUCCACCACCCGUCUCAGGACUGUGUCGGUGUAACAUGGCUCUAUCGGCUCCUCUCGUAAAUCGGCCAGGCAGCAUGAACCUCAUUCCCGGCCUCGGUAACCGUCCUGGAAAGGGUAACAAACUAGCAGAGGUCAGAGUUAGUGCGUAAGAAAGGCGAUUAUGCAAAUAUCUUUAUAUGUUUUCCCUGGUCAUUGUUUAAAAAAAUUAAUUGGACGGUAAUUAUUUUACAGUGUUGUAUUGAUUUCGGCUGUACAAUAAUGUGAAUC
Odocoileus virginianus texanus is the source of this 1589-nucleotide non-coding RNA. The record is from RefSeq and is a predicted model, not a curated record. NCBI's taxonomy places the organism in Eukaryota, Metazoa, Chordata, Mammalia, Artiodactyla, Cervidae.